RNAcentral lists this ribosomal RNA (443 nucleotides) under uncultured bacterium. Its description in RNAcentral is "partial 16S ribosomal RNA". It matches the Rfam family "Bacterial small subunit ribosomal RNA", at positions 338 to 795 of the family's 1533-position model. The record is from RNAcentral.
CCUACGGGAGGCAGCAGUGGGGAAUAUUGGGCAAUGGGCGCAAGCCUGACCCAGCAACGCCGCGUGAAGGCAGAAGGCUUUCGGGUUGUAAACUUCUUUUCUCAGGGACGAAGCAAGUGACGGUACCUGAGGAAUAAGCCACGGCUAACUACGUGCCAGCAGCCGCGGUAAUACGUAGGUGGCAAGCGUUAUCCGGAUUUACUGGGUGUAAAGGGCGUGUAGGCGGGGACGCAAGUCAGAUGUGAAAACCACGGGCUCAACCUGUGGCCUGCAUUUGAAACUGUGUUUCUUGAGUACUGGGGAGGCAGACGGAAUUCCUAGUGUAGCGGUGAAAUGCGUAGAGAUUAGGAGGAACACCAGUGGCGAAGGCGGUCUGCUGGACAGUAACUGACGCUGAGGCGCGAAAGCGUGGGGAGCAAACAGGAUUAGAUACCCCUGUAGUC